AAUAAACUUGUUUCGAGAGUUAAUUGAUCAUAAUGCAUUUGAAAGAGAAUUGAUGCCCAUAACCACCUUUGGUUUUUCCAGUCAAAUAAACUUGUUUCGGGGGUCAAUUAAUGUAGAUGUAGUGUAUAAAAAUGGAAAGGCAGACCAAGAGUGGUAAGAGCAUUAAAAAUUGAGAAAGACAUUGUUUCAAUAUUAUAGUCAGUGCCGUGAUUGAAGCAUCAAACGUGGGCUUCACGUUGGUAUUGGGGUUAGUCAUUUUUAUCAUAGAGGCGACUCCUUAGCUAUACAAAGAGGUUCUCACCAACAAAAAAGAAAGAGAAGAUUACAGAGCUGGAAUCUGGAAAAUCGAAGAAGAAUUUGGGUUAUGAUUUUGAGCAAGGAUUACCCGUUUUGUUGAGAUCAAAGAAGAAGAAAACGGAUCAGAUUUAUGAUUCUACGGGAUCGAGAACUUCUCCUGUUGAAGUUCUUGAGCUUAGAGUUAACCCAAUGGGAGAAAAACCUUUAGUGGUGAGCAUCACAUGUAGCAAAAGAACCGACACAAUGGUAAAGUUGUGUGAGGCCUUUGAAUCUUUGAAGCUAAAAAUAAUUACAGCGAAUAUCACCGCAGUUGCCGGCAGGCUGUUGAAGACGGCUUUUAUCGAGGGUUAAGAGCUGCCCCCUUCAAAGUUUCCGACGUCCACGUCCAUUCUCCUUGACAACUCACUCUAGUGCGCCGUCAACUCUACAAACGAUGCCUCUUCUCCCUCCUCAGUGAUUUCUCAAAACCAUCAAAAAUUUGGCAGAAAUAACCAAAUUUGUCACACAGAUCUGUCACACAUCAUCAACCACACUUCUUGUAAGUGCUCGUUAAAAAUAUUCAAGUAAUAUAUCUUCAAAAUAAGGUGGUGCGUACAUAGAAAUAUUUGGGUUUUUAAAAGAUAAUUGGUGGAAACUUGAGAAAAGAGUAAACUUUGGAUGGGAGUAAGUCUUUUGGCCUCAAGAAAGCUGCAGUGGAAGAAUUAUAAGUCUUGGGACUCAUUUUUCUUCAACUUUGAAAUCUAAGAACCAGAAGUUGUUACAAAAGUUCGGAGUAAGUUGGAUAUGUGGUGUGCAAAUUAGAUAGUAAUUUAUAGGGAAAAAGAUAAUGAAUUUAAGGCCGGUGGUUAAGGUGCAAUUAAUAUGUUGCUUAAUAUACAUUUUACUUGCCUUUUGUAGAUUAUAAACCAUUCCAUGAAGAAACAUUACCAUUUUUAUAGAAAAAAAUUAAAUUAUUAAAUAUGUUAAAUUAUUUCAUUUUCUUUGCAUAA
This is a long non-coding RNA of Mangifera indica (mango), 1286 nucleotides long. RefSeq lists it as uncharacterized. The record is from RefSeq and is a predicted model, not a curated record. The transcript has 3 exons. Lineage: Eukaryota; Viridiplantae; Streptophyta; Magnoliopsida; Sapindales; Anacardiaceae.